RNAcentral lists this ribosomal RNA (260 nucleotides) under uncultured bacterium. RNAcentral's name for it is "partial 16S ribosomal RNA". It matches the Rfam family "Bacterial small subunit ribosomal RNA", at positions 524 to 777 of the family's 1533-position model. The record is from RNAcentral.
UACGUAGGGUCCGAGCGUUGUCCGGAAUUACUGGGCGUAAAGAGCUCGUAGGUGGUUUUGUCGCGUUGUUCGUGAAAAACUCACAGCUCAACUGUGGGCGUGCGGGCGAUACGGGCAGACUAGAGUACUGCAGGGGAGACUGGAAUUCCUGGUGUAGCGGUGGAAUGCGCAGAUAUCAGGAGGAACACCGGUGGCGAAGGCGGGGUCUCUGGGGCCACUACUGACGCUGAGAAGCGAAAAGCAUGGGGGAGCGAACAGGG